UCUAGAACUCGAGAUAUGGGCUGAACACUGAACAAUAGCUGCGCUGCAGGACAUAUUCAGACUUCUCUUUUGAUGCUAAGAUUUGGACUUCCAAACAGCAUAAUUGAGUCUUGGACUCUCUUGAAUGUUUUAGGCCUAUGUAUUAGCUUUCUAGC
Non-coding RNA from Populus trichocarpa (black cottonwood), 155 nucleotides. NCBI's taxonomy places the organism in Eukaryota, Viridiplantae, Streptophyta, Magnoliopsida, Malpighiales, Salicaceae. The record is from Rfam.